GAUGAAGAACGUAGUGAAAUGCGAUAAGUAAUGUGAAUUGCAGAAUUCAGUGAAUCAUCGAAUCUUUGAACACACAUUGCGCCCGCCAGUAUUCUGGCGGGCAUGCCUGUUCGAGCGUCAUUACAACCCUCAGGCCCCCGGGCCUGGCGUUGGGGAUCGGCGGAGCCCCCCGUGGGCACACGCCGUCCCCCAAAUGCAGUGGCGGUCCCGCCGCAGCUUCCAUCGCGUAGUAGCUAACACCUCGCGACUGGAGAGCGGCGCGGCCACGCCGUAAAACACCCAACUCUUCUGAAGUUGACCUCGAAUCAGGUAGGAAUACCCGCUGAACUUAAGCAUAUCAAUAAGCGGAGGA
This 352-nucleotide unclassified non-coding RNA is filed under the name soil metagenome. RNAcentral's name for it is "partial contains 5.8S ribosomal RNA, internal transcribed spacer 2, and large subunit ribosomal RNA". The stretch from base 1 to 120 matches the Rfam family "5.8S ribosomal RNA", at positions 35 to 154 of the family's 154-position model. The record is from RNAcentral.